Molecule: ribosomal RNA, 516 nt
Filed under: uncultured bacterium
Lineage: Bacteria
Description: partial 16S ribosomal RNA
Rfam family: Bacterial small subunit ribosomal RNA
Source: RNAcentral
GAUGAACGCUGGCGGCGUGCCUAAUACAUGCAAGUCGAGCGAAUGGAUUAAGAGCUUGCUCUUAUGAAGUUAGCGGCGGACGGGUGAGUAACACGCGGGUAACCUGCCCAUAAGACUGGGAUAACUCCGGGAAACCGGGGCUAAUACCGGAUAACAUUUUGAACCGCAUGGUUCGAAAUUGAAAGGCGGCUUCGGCUGUCACUUAUGGAUGGACCCGCGUCGCAAUUAGCUAGUUGGUGAGGUAACGGCUCACCAAGGCAACGAUGCGUAGCCGACCUGGGAGGGUGAUCUGCCACAAUGGGACUGAGACACGGCCCAGACUCCUACGGGAGGCAGCAGUAGGGAAUCUUCCGCAAUGGACGAAAGUCUGACGGAGCAACGUCGCGUGAGUGAUGAAGGCUUUCGGGUCGUAAAACUCUGUUGUUAGGGAAGAACAAGUGCUAGUUGAAUAAGCUGGCACCUUGACGGUACCUAACCAGAAAGCCACGGCUAACUACGUGCCAGCCGCCGCGGUAA